Molecule: ribosomal RNA, 482 nt
Filed under: uncultured bacterium
Lineage: Bacteria
Description: bacterial SSU rRNA
Rfam family: Bacterial small subunit ribosomal RNA
Source: RNAcentral
GACGAACGCUAGCGGCAGGCUUAAUACAUGCAAGUCAAGGGGGUAGCAAUACAACCGGCGCACGGGUGAGUAACGCGUACACAACAUACCAUAUACUGGAGUAUAGCUUUGGGAAACUGAAGGUAAUCCUCCAUAACAUUGCGAGAGGGCAUCUGAUUGCAAUUAAAGUUCCGACGGUAUAUGAUUGGUGUGCGUUUGAUUAGCUAGUUGGUAGGGUAACGGCCUACCAAGGCGACGAUCAAUAGCUGGCGUGAGAGCGCGACCAGCCACACUGGAACUGAGACACGGUCCAGACUCCUACGGGAGGCAGCAGUAGGGAAUAUUGGACAAUGGGCGAAAGCCUGAUCCAGCCAUGCCGCGUGAUAGAUGAAGGCCCUCUGGGUUGUAAAUAUCUUUUAUCUGGGAAGAAACUCCUCUAUUCUUAGAGGCCUGACGGUACCAGAGGAAUAAGCACCGGCUAACUCCGUGCCAGCAGCCGCGGU